This 813-nucleotide long non-coding RNA is filed under the name Homo sapiens (human). Its description in RNAcentral is "HSALNT0227943". Lineage: Eukaryota; Metazoa; Chordata; Mammalia; Primates; Hominidae. The record is from RNAcentral.
CAGCUUACAAACAGAGCAGUGGGUCCACCCAUCUUGAUCCUGGGGUACUGACAAGAAAUAUUUUGGAGAAGUUAGAUAGGGUAGAGGCAGAAGUAGACGCAAUUAAACAUGAAGGAUUGUGAAGGCAAAAGAUGAACCAGCCAGCCUAGUCUCUGGAUGCAUAAGCUCCAAGUGUGGAGGAGACCCGGAGAGAAAAGCAGACUGUUCUCUGUGUUUACCUGUAAGCACAGGCCGCAACCUGCCAUGCUGUUUUUAAAUGCCCAAGAGCUGGUGACAAGAGGGUUUCCCUUUGCCAUCUGGACCUGAUUGCCUUAGAGGUAAAGAUUCAAUACCCUUAAGAAGUUAGAUUCUAAAAGAUUAUAAAUUGGUGCCACUGCUUUUGAUUGCAAUUGAUCAAUUUCCGGAUAGAGAUUGCACAAUCCAUGAAGACACACAACACUCUCAGAAGUCACUGCUCCAUGCUGUGCCCCUCAUCCCUGCCUGGGAGCUCGGUAUCUCUGCCUCCCACCUUGCUAACCAGCACCUCUGCCUUCACUCAGAGCGCUCAGGACAUAGCUGUAAGCCACUCAAAAACAGUUCUUGAAAUCUCAAGUUCAAUACUGGCCUCCUAAAUCCUAGCAAUUCCCAGAGGAGUGAGAGGUGGGAGGUGGCAAGGAUGAAAGGCUGAUUUUAGCUCUGCAUUUGGGGCCUCUUGAAUCAUCUUUAUUUGAUGGGAAACUGGGAAGACUGGGGGAGGAUAACGUAUUAAGCUUAUUCCAUUGAAAAGACCUCACUAAGAUAUCAGGAAAAAGUCAGAUGAUAAUAUUAGAUUUA